Molecule: long non-coding RNA, 492 nt
Organism: Cercocebus atys (sooty mangabey)
Lineage: Eukaryota; Metazoa; Chordata; Mammalia; Primates; Cercopithecidae
Exons: 3
Source: RefSeq, a predicted model, not a curated record
CCGCCUUCCAGGCCCCUCCCCGCCCUCUGUCUCUUUCUGCCUGGGUUCUUCCUUUGGGCCUUCUACCCUCGGGUUUCAGCUCUGGUCCAUCAGUGUCUAUAUGCGAGGAAAGAGAAGGCAUUGGCAGGGGAUGACCUGGGCAUAAGGGGCUGGCUGGGCAGAAGACAGAAUUCUUGAGGUCCAAGGAGCCACUAAAGGGAAACUGUGACCUCCCUCUCAAUCGCUGUCCAUUUUAGGAAUUGGGGUGUUGAAGGAAACUUGUGUACAAUCCUAACAAAGCAGUAGGGAAGGAGGGCAGCAUGGCAUAGGAGUUCACUUGAGUUUUGGCAUCAGACAGUCUUUGUUCAAAUCCUGGCACAACCGUUUGUUCUCUGUGUGACUUUGUACGAGUUCUUGGCUUAUCUAAACCUCAGUUUUCUAAUAAACACAAUGAAGACAACAAUGGGACUUGUCUCUUAGAAUUGUUGUGAGGAAGCACAGGUAAAAUACUCA